GUAAUGCAUAGAUAAUGUGCCCCUUAGUUCGGGAUAGCCACUGGAAACGGUGAUUAAUACCGGAUACUCCUUCUUGUUAUAAGACAAGUCGGGAAAGUUUUUCGCUAAGGGAUCAGUCUAUGUUCCAUCAGCUUGUUGGUGAGGUAAUGGCUCACCAAGGCUAUGACGGAUAUCUGGUUUGAGAGGAUGAUCAGACACACUGGAACUGAGACACGGUCCAGACUCCUACGGGAGGCAGCAGUGAGGAAUAUUGCACAAUGGAGGAAACUCUGAUGCAGCAACGCCGCGUGGAGGAUGACGCAUUUCGGUGUGUAAACUCCUUUUAUUAGGGAAGAUAAUGACGGUACCUAAUGAAUAAGCACCGGCUAACUCCGUGCCAGCAGCCGCGGUAAUACGGAGGGUGCAAGCGUUACUCGGAAUCACUGGGCGUAAAGGGUGCGUAGGCUGGCUUUUAAGUCAGAUGUGAAAUCCAAUGGCUCAACCAUUGAACUGCAUUUGAAACUGAAAGCCUAGAGUUCAGAAGGGGCAGAUGGAAUUAGUGGUGUAGGGGUAAAAUCCGUAGAUAUCACUAGGAAUAUCAAAAGCGAAGGCGAUCUGCUGGGAUGAUAC
This 609-nucleotide ribosomal RNA is filed under the name uncultured bacterium. RNAcentral's name for it is "bacterial SSU rRNA". It matches the Rfam family "Bacterial small subunit ribosomal RNA", at positions 110 to 740 of the family's 1533-position model. The record is from RNAcentral.